GACGAACGCUGGCGGCGUGCCUAACACAUGCAAGUCGAACGGAACUGUUUUGAAAGAUUUCUUCGGAAUGAAUUUGAUUUAGUUUAGUGGCGGACGGGUGAGUAACGCGUGAGUAACCUGCCUUCAAGAGGGGGAUAACAUUCUGAAAAGAAUGCUAAUACCGCAUGACAUAUCGGAACCACAUGGUUUUGAUAUCAAAGAUUUUAUCGCUUGAAGAUGGACUCGCGUCCGAUUAGUUAGUUGGUGAGGUAACGGCUCACCAAGACCGCGAUCGGUAGCCGGACUGAGAGGUUGAACGGCCACAUUGGGACUGAGACACGGCCCAGACUCCUACGGGAGGCAGCAGUGGGGGAUAUUGCGCAAUGGGGGCAACCCUGACGCAGCAACGCCGCGUGAAGGAUGAAGGUUUUCGGAUUGUAAACUUCUUUUAUUAAGGACGAAAAAUGACGGUACUUAAUGAAUAAGCUCCGGCUAA
RNAcentral lists this ribosomal RNA (475 nucleotides) under uncultured bacterium. RNAcentral describes it as "bacterial SSU rRNA". It matches the Rfam family "Bacterial small subunit ribosomal RNA", at positions 28 to 500 of the family's 1533-position model. The record is from RNAcentral.